This 241-nucleotide long non-coding RNA is filed under the name Ictidomys tridecemlineatus (thirteen-lined ground squirrel). RNAcentral's name for it is "lncRNA (ENSSTOG00000029450.1)". Lineage: Eukaryota; Metazoa; Chordata; Mammalia; Rodentia; Sciuridae. The record is from RNAcentral.
UCACUGACUCUUCUGGUCUCCUUCAGUUGUCUAGAAUCCCCUUGAACAAUGGUACUGUCACAUACUGGCAUCCCCACAAGGCUUAGCAGUGUCAGAAGAAGCUAUUACUGGUGCCUCCACCACUAUAUGAGAAGAUGGCCCCCAACACUGAUACAGUGCUCUGCUGCUGACCUUGCUGUCGACCUUGUUGCUGACCUUAUUCCUUUCUCCCGAUAUGUGUCAGGCAAGUGGACUUUUAGCC